This 450-nucleotide ribosomal RNA is filed under the name uncultured bacterium. RNAcentral's name for it is "bacterial SSU rRNA". It matches the Rfam family "Bacterial small subunit ribosomal RNA", at positions 28 to 478 of the family's 1533-position model. The record is from RNAcentral.
GAUGAACGCUGGCGGCGUGCUUAACACAUGCAAGUCGAACGAAGCACUUUAACCUGAUUCUUCGGAUGAAGGUUUUUGUGACUGAGUGGCGGACGGGUGAGUAACGCGUGGGCAACCUGCCUCAUACAGGGGGAUAACAGUUAGAAAUGACUGCUAAUACCGCAUAAGACCACGGAGUCGCAUGGCUCAGUGGGAAAAACUCCGGUGGUAUGAGAUGGACCCGCGUCUGAUUAGGUAGUUGGUGGGGUAACGGCCUACCAAGCCAACGAUCAGUAGCCGACCUGAGAGGGUGACCGGCCACAUUGGGACUGAGACACGGCCCAAACUCCUACGGGAGGCAGCAGUGGGGAAUAUUGCACAAUGGGGGAAACCCUGAUGCAGCGACGCCGCGUGAGCGAAGAAGUAUUUCGGUAUGUAAAGCUCUAUCAGCAGGGAAGAAAAUGACGGUAC